This 506-nucleotide unclassified non-coding RNA is filed under the name Hevea brasiliensis (rubber tree). The record is from RNAcentral. Lineage: Eukaryota; Viridiplantae; Streptophyta; Magnoliopsida; Malpighiales; Euphorbiaceae.
GGCUUUUGCAAAUAUGACAAAGUUGAACUUAGAAAAAUGCUAAAAAUGCUAACUUUAAAAGUGAAGCCAUCCUCAAAUCUGAACUGAGGAGAUGCCACAAAAAGAAAAGAAGUACGGCUCUCGCUUACCAGCCCAUAACACCACUAUCUAAGCACUGGCUAUCUAAAUUAUUCUUUUCUAAUGAACCUCAACACGGAUUAAAAAACCAAACACUUUCAAAGGGAUGGUGUUGGCUCUUGAUUCUCUUCUAUCCUCCCAUGCACCCAGUUCUGGGAAUCUGAUGUUCUCGGGAAUCAUCACAGAAAGGUAUGGCCAUUCCACAAUGAUAAGUAAAUUAAACUUUCCAUUUUCAGGGGUAAAACCAUGUUUUUACUAGGAAAAAUUGCACCCAUGAGAUUUGAUACAUAUGCUUUCAUUUUCUAGUGUUUCAAAAUUAGUUACUUUCAUUCUUGAAAUUUUAAUUUUUAAUUAUAUUUUAAUCUCUAAAUUUUUAUAUUGUAUUAAAA